GACGAACGCUGGCGGCGUGCCUAAUACAUGCAAGUUGAGCGCUGAAGGUUGGUACUUGUCCCACCUGGAUGAGCAGCGAACGGGUGAGUAACGCGUGGGGAAUCUGCCUUUGAGCGGGGGACAACAUUUGGAAACGAAUGCUAAUACCGCAUAAAAACUUUAAACACAAGUUUUAAGUUUGAAAGAUGCAAUUGCACCACUCAAAGAUGAUCCCGCGUUGUAUUAGCUAGUUGGUGAGGUAAAGGCUCACCAAGGCGAUGAUACAUAGCCGACCUGAGAGGGGGAUCGGCCACAUCGGGACUGAGAAACGGCCCAAGCCCCUACGGGAGGCAGCAGGAGGGAAACCUCGGCAAUGGACGAAAGGCUGACCGAGGAACGGCGCGGGAGUGAAGAAGGUUUUCGGAUCGUAAAACUCUGUUGGUAGAGAAGAACGUUGGGGAGAGUGGAAAGCUCAUCAAGUGACGGUAACUACCCAGAAAGGGACGGCUAACUACGUG
RNAcentral lists this ribosomal RNA (497 nucleotides) under uncultured bacterium. Its description in RNAcentral is "partial 16S ribosomal RNA". It matches the Rfam family "Bacterial small subunit ribosomal RNA", at positions 28 to 507 of the family's 1533-position model. The record is from RNAcentral.